This 509-nucleotide ribosomal RNA is filed under the name fungal endophyte. Its description in RNAcentral is "eukaryotic LSU rRNA". The stretch from base 179 to 332 matches the Rfam family "5.8S ribosomal RNA". The record is from RNAcentral. Lineage: Eukaryota; Fungi.
CUUCCGUAGGUGAACCUGCGGAGGGAUCAUUACUGAGUGAGGGCCUUCGGGCUCGACCUCCAACCCUUUGUGAACACAACUUGUUGCUUCGGGGGCGACCCUGCCGUUUCGACGGCGAGCGCCCCCGGAGGCCUUCAAACACUGCAUCUUUGCGUCGGAGUUUAAGUAAAUUAAACAAAACUUUCAACAACGGAUCUCUUGGUUCUGGCAUCGAUGAAGAACGCAGCGAAAUGCGAUAAGUAAUGUGAAUUGCAGAAUUCAGUGAAUCAUCGAAUCUUUGAACGCACAUUGCGCCCUCUGGUAUUCCGGAGGGCAUGCCUGUUCGAGCGUCAUUUCACCACUCAAGCCUGGCUUGGUAUUGGGCGCCGCGGUGUUCCGCGCGCCUCAAAGUCUCCGGCUGAGCUGUCCGUCUCCAAGCGUUGUGAUUUCAUUAAUCGCUUCGGAGUGCGGGUGGCCGCGGCCGUUAAAUCUUUCACAAGGUGACCUCGGAUCAGGUACGAUCCCACUCC